GCCAGUGUGGUGUAGUGGUUUUGAGUGCUGGACUACAACUCUAGAGUCCAGGGUUCAAUUCCCAACUGGGCCA
Molecule: non-coding RNA, 73 nt
Organism: Phrynosoma platyrhinos (Desert horned lizard)
Lineage: Eukaryota; Metazoa; Chordata; Lepidosauria; Squamata; Phrynosomatidae
Source: the annotation of a GenBank genome assembly